Molecule: ribosomal RNA, 490 nt
Filed under: uncultured bacterium
Lineage: Bacteria
Description: partial 16S ribosomal RNA
Rfam family: Bacterial small subunit ribosomal RNA
Source: RNAcentral
GAUGAACGCUAGCGAUAGGCUUAACACAUGCAAGUCGAGGGGCAGCAUGGUCCUAGCUUGCUAAGACUGAUGGCGACCGGCGCACGGGUGCGUAACGCGUAUGCAACUUGCCUCACAGAGGGGGAUAACCCGUCGAAAGACGGACUAAUACCGCGUACACUUGGGAUAGGGCAUCCUGACCCAAGGAAAUGAAAUUCGCUGUGAGAUAGGCAUGCGUCCCAUUAGCUAGUUGGUGAGGUAACGGCUCACCAAGGCGACGAUGGGUAGGGGAACUGAGAGGUUGAACCCCCACACUGGUACUGAGACACGGACCAGACUCCUACGGGAGGCAGCAGUGAGGUAUAUUGGUCAAUGGGCGAGAGCCUGAACCAGCCAAGUCGCGUGAAGGAUGACUGUCUUAUGGAUUGUAAACUUCUUUUAUACGGGAAUAACAAGAGCCACGUGUGGCUCCCUGCAUGUACCGGAUGAAUAAGCAUCGGCUAACUCCGUG